GACGAACGCUGGCGGCGUGCUUAACACAUGCAAGUCGAACGGAAAGGCCCUGCUUGCAGGGUACUCGAGUGGCGAACGGGUGAGUAACACGUGGGUGAUCUGCCCUGCACUUCGGGAUAAGCCUGGGAAACUGGGUCUAAUACCGGAUAGGAGCCAUUUUUAGUGUGAUGGUUGGAAAGUUUUUUCGGUGUAGGAUGAGCUCGCGGCCUAUCAGCUUGUUGGUGGGGUAAUGGCCUACCAAGGCGGCGACGGGUAGCCGGCCUGAGAGGGUGGACGGCCACAGUGGGACUGGGAUACGGCCCAGACUCCUACGGGAGGCAGCAGUGGGGAAUAUUGCACAAUGGGUGCAAGCCUGAUGCAGCGACGCCGCGUGGGGGAUGACGGCCUUCGGGUUGUAAACUCCUUUCGCUAGGGACGAAGCUUUUUGUGACGGUACCUAGAUAAGAAGCACCGGCUAACUACGUG
RNAcentral lists this ribosomal RNA (465 nucleotides) under uncultured bacterium. Its description in RNAcentral is "partial 16S ribosomal RNA". It matches the Rfam family "Bacterial small subunit ribosomal RNA", at positions 28 to 507 of the family's 1533-position model. The record is from RNAcentral.